UGGGGGAUAUUGCACAAUGGGCGAAAGCCUGAUGCAGCGACGCCGCGUGGGGGAUGAAGGCCUUCGGGUUGUAAACUUCUUUUGCUCUGAACAAGGCGCACCAUGGGGUGUGUUGAGUGUAGGGGUUGAUUAGCGCCGGCUAACUACGUGCCAGCAGCCGCGGUAAUACGUAGGGCGCGAGCGUUGUCCGGAAUUAUUGGGCGUAAAGGGCUUGUAGGUGGCUGGUUGCGUCUGUCGUGAAAGCUCAUGGCUUAACUGUGGGUUUGCGGUGGGUACGGGCUGGCUUGAGUGCAGUAUGGGAGGCUGGAAUUCCUGGUGUAGCGGUGGAAUGCGCAGAUAUCAGGAGGAAUACCGGUGGCGAAGGCGGGUCUCUGGGCUGUUACUGACACUGAGGAGCGAAAGCAUGGGGAGCGAACAGG
Molecule: ribosomal RNA, 419 nt
Filed under: bacterium
Lineage: Bacteria
Description: partial 16S ribosomal RNA
Rfam family: Bacterial small subunit ribosomal RNA
Source: RNAcentral